UGGAUUCUGUGGCUACCAAGAACACACUUGU
This 31-nucleotide non-coding RNA is filed under the name Mus musculus (house mouse). The record is from RNAcentral. Lineage: Eukaryota; Metazoa; Chordata; Mammalia; Rodentia; Muridae.